UGGCCGCAUUGGCCGUUUGGUGCUCCGUG
Molecule: small RNA, 29 nt
Filed under: Bombyx mori (domestic silkworm)
Lineage: Eukaryota; Metazoa; Arthropoda; Insecta; Lepidoptera; Bombycidae
Description: piRNA piR-bmo-2202038
Source: RNAcentral